CCUACGGGUGGCAGCAGUGGGGAAUAUUGGACAAUGGGGGCAACCCUGAUCCAGCCAUGCCGCGUGUGUGAAGAAGGCCCUCGGGUUGUAAAGCACUUUCAGUGAGGAAGAACGCCUGGUGGUUAAUACCCAUCAGGAAAGACAUCACUCACAGAAGAAGCACCGGCUAACUCCGUGCCAGCAGCCGCGGUAAUACGGAGGGUGCGAGCGUUAAUCGGAAUUACUGGGCGUAAAGCGCGCGUAGGUGGCUUGAUAAGCCGGUUGUGAAAGCCCCGGGCUCAACCUGGGAACGGCAUCCGGAACUGUCAAGCUAGGGUGCAGGAGAGGAAGGUAGAAUUCCCGGUGUAGCGGUGAAAUGCGUAGAGAUCGGGAGGAAUACCAGUGGCGAAGGCGGCCUUCUGGACUGACACUGACACUGAGGUGCGAAAGCGUGGGUAGCAAACAGGAUUAGAUACCCGAGUAGUC
Molecule: ribosomal RNA, 465 nt
Filed under: Vreelandella stevensii
Lineage: Bacteria; Pseudomonadati; Pseudomonadota; Gammaproteobacteria; Oceanospirillales; Halomonadaceae
Description: partial 16S ribosomal RNA
Rfam family: Bacterial small subunit ribosomal RNA
Source: RNAcentral